CGCCUAACAGCUAGCCCACCCAAGCAAUUUCAACAAACCCCUAUUAAUAACCCCUAAGUACCCCAGUAUUUAAAUUAAACAAACCAUUUUCCCCCCUUAGUACAGGCGAUAGAAAGGGGCCUACGGCGCGAUAGAGAAAGUACCGCAAGGGAAUGCUGAAAAAGAAAUGAAAUAACCCAGUAAAGCCUAGAAAAGCAGAGAUUCAACCUCGUACCUUUUGCAUCAUGAUUUAGCAAGUGUACCCCAAGCAAAGAGAACUUUAGUUUGGCGUCCCGAAACUACGUGAGCUACUCCAAGACAGCCUAUUAAUAGGGCACACCCGUCUCUGUGGCAAAAGAGUGGGGAGAGCUUUGAGUAGAGGUGACAAACCUACCGAACCUAGUUAUAGCUGGUUGUCCAAGAAAUGAAUAGAAGUUCAGCCUCUUGGCUUCUCUUUUCACCCUAGUUUAACCUCUAUCGAUGCAUUAAAGAAACCAAGGGAGUUAGUCAAAGGGGGUACAGCCCCUUUGAAUCAAGACACAACUUUACCAGGAGGGUAAAGAUCAUA
RNAcentral lists this ribosomal RNA (547 nucleotides) under Hemilepidotus jordani (yellow Irish lord). Its description in RNAcentral is "partial 16S large subunit ribosomal RNA". It matches the Rfam family "Bacterial large subunit ribosomal RNA", at positions 156 to 1050 of the family's 2925-position model. The record is from RNAcentral. Lineage: Eukaryota; Metazoa; Chordata; Actinopteri; Perciformes; Cottidae.